GGCCUGGCUGGGCGGUCAGCCAAAUUGGUUAGUACUGCUUUGGCCGGGUCUUUCCUUCUGGAGAGCCGGCAUGCCCUUCACUGGGUGUGGCGGGGAUCCAGGACUUUUACCUUGAAAAAAUUAGAGUGCUCAAAGCAGGCAUUUGCUUGAAUAGAUUAGCAUGGAAUAAUAAAAUAGGAC
RNAcentral lists this ribosomal RNA (180 nucleotides) under uncultured Glomeromycotina. RNAcentral describes it as "partial small subunit ribosomal RNA". The stretch from base 93 to 180 matches the Rfam family "Eukaryotic small subunit ribosomal RNA", at positions 738 to 828 of the family's 1831-position model. Lineage: Eukaryota; Fungi; Glomeromycota. The record is from RNAcentral.